ACGGGAGGUAGCAGUGGGGAAUAUUGGGCAAUGGGCGAAAGCCUGACCCAGCAACGCCGCGUGAAGGAAGAAGGUCUUCGGAUUGUAAACUUCUUUUAUGAGGGACGAAGGACGUGACGGUACCUCAUGAAUAAGCCACGGCUAACUACGUGCCAGCAGCCGCGGUAAUACGUAGGUGGCGAGCGUUAUCCGGAUUUACUGGGUGUAAAGGGCGCGUAGGCGGGGAUGCAAGUCAGGUGUGAAAUCUAUGGGCUUAACUCAUAAACUGCACUUGAAACUGUAUCUCUUGAGUGCUGGAGAGGUAGAUGGAAUUCCUUGUGUAGCGGUGAAAUGCGUAGAUAUAAGGAAGAACACCAGUGGCGAAGGCGAUCUACUGGACAGUAACUGACGCUGAGGAGCGAAAGCGUGGGGAGCAUACAGGAUUAGAUACCCUGGUA
Molecule: ribosomal RNA, 437 nt
Rfam family: Bacterial small subunit ribosomal RNA